This 187-nucleotide ribosomal RNA is filed under the name uncultured bacterium. RNAcentral's name for it is "partial 16S ribosomal RNA". It matches the Rfam family "Bacterial small subunit ribosomal RNA", at positions 1314 to 1500 of the family's 1533-position model. The record is from RNAcentral.
CCCUGCAUGAAGUCGGAAUUGCUAGUAAUCGCGGAUCAGCAUGCCGCGGUGAAUACGUUCCCGGGCCUUGUACACACCGCCCGUCACACCAUGGGAGCCGGUAAUACCCGAAGUCAGUAGUCCAACCACGUGAGGACGCUGCCGAAGGUAGGAUUGGCGACUGGGGUGGAAGUCGUAACAAGGUAAC